GUGUCAGCCGCCGCGGUAAUACGUAGGGGGCUAGCGUUGUCCGGAUUUAUUGGGCGUAAAGCGCGUGUAGGCGGCCAGGUAGGUCCGUUGUGAAAGCUCGAGGCUCAACCUCGAGACGCCGGCGGAAACCAUCUGGCUAGAGUCCGGAAGAGGAGAGUGGAAUUCCCGGUGUAGCGGUGAAAUGCGCAGAUAUCGGGAAGAACACCCGUGGCGAAGGCGGCUCUCUGGGACGGUACUGACGCUGAGACGCGAAAGCGUGGGGAGCGAACAGGAUUAGAUACCCGAGUAGUCC
This 292-nucleotide ribosomal RNA is filed under the name uncultured bacterium. RNAcentral's name for it is "partial 16S ribosomal RNA". It matches the Rfam family "Bacterial small subunit ribosomal RNA", at positions 505 to 796 of the family's 1533-position model. The record is from RNAcentral.